UUCGGAUUGUGGGCUGAAACCCGCCCACAUGAAGUCGGAUUUGCUAGUAAUCCCGAAUCAGCAUGUCGGGGUGAAUGCGUUCCCGGGUCUUGUACACACCGCCCGUCACGCCAUGGGAGUUGGGGGGACCCAAAGCCGGUGAGCUAACCGCAAGGGGGCAGCCGUCUAAGGUAAAACCAAUGACUGGGGUGAAGUCGUAACAAGGUAGCGGUAUCGGAAGGUGCCGCUGGAUCACCUCCUUU
RNAcentral lists this ribosomal RNA (242 nucleotides) under Bacillota bacterium. RNAcentral describes it as "partial 16S ribosomal RNA". It matches the Rfam family "Bacterial small subunit ribosomal RNA", at positions 1292 to 1533 of the family's 1533-position model. Lineage: Bacteria; Bacillati; Bacillota. The record is from RNAcentral.